UUAGAAAUACCAGACUUAGAUCGAGUUUGCAUUGGAUACUGGUAAGGGGUAGAUGGCGAAGUUGAGGAAUUAGUAACAGGUAAUGAGGUAGACAAAGAUGGUGAAAAACCUACAUGUAAUGAUUCACUAAGGCAAGGUAUGAGUGAAAUAGGCUCUACAGGAGAGAUCUGACAACUAGUGGAAUCUAUAGUUCUAGAGGAUAAAGGUUGAGAUACAUGAGAACUGUUGUGUAAUGAUGGAAUAUCGGUACACACAAAAGAUUCAAGUUGAGGGGGUGGAAUCCUACGAUUUAGAGGCGAUAUGACAACAAGAGGAUCAGAAUUAGUGGAUGAAGAGGAGACAACAGUAGGAGAACUAGAGAACUCAAAAUAUGAAAAAAUUAGUUCAUGAAAUAUAACAUGUCGACUGAAUAAACACGACCAGAUUUUGGAUCUAAACAACGAUAUCCUUUAUAAUCAUAUGCAUAGCCAAGGAAGACACAUCUAACUGAACGAGGUGUAAACUUAUGAGAAAUUUGAGCAGACAAAUUGGGAAAGCAUUCGCA
This 544-nucleotide long non-coding RNA is filed under the name Nicotiana benthamiana. RNAcentral's name for it is "long non-coding RNA (NBEN_LNC042128)". The record is from RNAcentral. Lineage: Eukaryota; Viridiplantae; Streptophyta; Magnoliopsida; Solanales; Solanaceae.